This 375-nucleotide ribosomal RNA is filed under the name uncultured bacterium. Its description in RNAcentral is "bacterial SSU rRNA". It matches the Rfam family "Bacterial small subunit ribosomal RNA", at positions 521 to 896 of the family's 1533-position model. The record is from RNAcentral.
UAAUACAUACUGUGCGAACGUUAUUCGGAUUCACUGGGCUUAAAGGGUGUGUAGGCGGCUUGUUAAGUAGGGUGUGAAAGCCCCCAGCUCAACUGGGGAACUGCAUUCUAAACUGGCGAGCUAGAGUGAGAUAGGGGUGUCCGGAACUGCCAGUGGAGCGGUGAAAUGUGUUGAUAUUGGCAGGAACGCCGGUGGCGAAAGCGGGACACUGGGUCUCAACUGACGCUGAGACACGAAAGCCAGGGGAGCAAACGGGAUUAGAUACCCCGGUAGUCCUGGCCGUAAACGCUGAGUACUCGUCGGGAGCGACUGCGGUCGCUCCAGACUUAGAGAAAUCGUUAAGUACUCCGCCUGGGGAGUAUGGUCGCAAGGCUG